UUUUAUUUUACACAAAAUGAACGUGUGGAACUUGUAAUACUUUAACACCAUGUAAUAUUUGACCCUUCAUAUCUUAUUUCUUUUUUUUAAAGUUUAUUUAUUUUGAGGGAGAGAGAGAGAGUGAACAAGAGAGAGAGCAUGUACACGUGGGUGGGAGAGGCACAGAGAGAUUGGGAGGGAGAGAAUCCCAAGCAGGCUCCAUGCUGUCAGUGCAGAGCCUAAUGCAGGGCUCAAAUCAUGAACCAUGAGAUCUUGACCUGAAGCAAAAUCAAGAGCCGGACACUUAACCAACUGAGCCACCCAGGUACCCCCUUCAUAUCUUAUUUCUGUUUGUGGAGAGAUAUUAUUUAGGAAUUAAAUUUCUCAUUUAUUGACUCACCUACACCUAUUUAAAUAUGUAAUUUCUCCUGUUGAUUAUAGAGACUUGGUGCUAGGAAUGAGAGAGCUAUUUUGAAAGUAUCUUAAAAUUUAUAAAUUUCUUUAUAGUUACUUAAGAAUAAAACGCCCUUGAUUCUUUGCUUUGUAUCUAUACCCUCCCUCCACACUUACAGGCAAAUGAAAUAAACUCUUCACCAGCAUUAAUGAAUCAGUCAGCCUCACACAUCUUCAGCUUGAGUCCAGAGAUAAGAGAAUGGGCCAAAAUACUGAGAUGAGUGGGCCUUAUUUGUGAAGGAGCCACAGAAGCCGGGGGCAUGCAUUUUUUUUUUUUUUGGCUCAAAUUGAUGUAACCUGGAGUUUGUUUGAUCUUGGGAGUUAAGUGGGUCAGUCUAUCAAAAAGCCAUUGUAACAGAGUGCCUUGAGGAAGUUGGUGCCGGAAAGAAGACAUUUUUAAAACAUGCGCAUGGAGUGAAGAUAUCUGGGAAACAGAAACCUUUAAUAUUUUUAUUCAUAGAUACAGUAAUUCACUAUCCUGCGUCAAACGCCUGGAAGUGCUGGCAUGGAGUGAGGACAGGACAUCUGCUCCCUGGGGCUGGGCACAUGCCAUCAGACUGAAAGGAGGCCCACCGAGAAUGGUGUCAGAUUAUAGCCUGGAUGAUGCCUCUCCAGAUAAGGGACAGGAAGAUCUUUCUCUGGAGAAACUGAAACACCAACUGGGGAUCCCCAACAAAAAUAGGUCCAACUUCUCCAUUGUCCUUCCACCAGUCUACAGCUCUGCCUGCCCUGAGAACUUCCAAUCAGCAUUUGGGUGCUUCACCCUCCAAUAGAGAGAGACACACAAGGAUCGUCAGAAGGUAAGGAGUGCUAGAAGGAAAAGGCUAAAUCAAGAGGAAAUAGCAAAUAAGGGGGUACCUGACUAAGCGUCGACUCUUGAUUUCGGCUCAGGUCAUGGUGUCUGGGUUGUGGGAUUGAGCCCUGCUUCAGGCUCUGUGCUGAGUGUGGAUCCUGCUUGAGAUUCUCACUCUCUCCCUCUCUGCCCCUCUCCCCUUCCCCUGCUCACACUCUCUCUCAUCCUCUCUCUUUAAAAAAAAAGAAAGAACAAAUAAGUAGAAAAGGGGGUG
This 1499-nucleotide long non-coding RNA is filed under the name Felis catus (domestic cat). RNAcentral describes it as "lncRNA (ENSFCAG00000041199.2)". The record is from RNAcentral. Lineage: Eukaryota; Metazoa; Chordata; Mammalia; Carnivora; Felidae.